This 74-nucleotide transfer RNA is filed under the name Nonomuraea recticatena. RNAcentral describes it as "tRNA-Leu". It matches the Rfam family "tRNA". From Rfam's summary of the family: Transfer RNA (tRNA) molecules are approximately 80 nucleotides in length. Their secondary structure includes four short double-helical elements and three loops (D, anti-codon, and T loops). Further hydrogen bonds mediate the characteristic L-shaped molecular structure. tRNAs have two regions of fundamental functional importance: the anti-codon, which is responsible for specific mRNA codon recognition, and the 3' end, to which the tRNAs corresponding amino acid is attached (by aminoacyl-tRNA synthetases). tRNAs cope with the degeneracy of the genetic code in two manners: having more than one tRNA (with a specific anti-codon) for a particular amino acid; and 'wobble' base-pairing, i.e. permitting non-standard base-pairing at the 3rd anti-codon position. The record is from RNAcentral. Lineage: Bacteria; Bacillati; Actinomycetota; Actinomycetes; Streptosporangiales; Streptosporangiaceae. RNAcentral also lists the same sequence under 2 other names.
GCCGCUCUAGCCCAACUGGGAGAGGCACCGUGUUCAGAUCGCGGACAGUCAGGGUUCGAAUCCCUGGGGCGGCA